GGGGGUGGGGGGGGGGGGGGGGGGGGGGGGCGGGGGGGGGGGGGGGGGCGGGGGUGGGGGCGGAGGGGGGAGGAACGCGGGAGGGUCGAGCGGUUGGGUCGGGACAGCCACUGGAAACGGUGGCUAAUACCGGAUAAGCUGAGGCGGGAAAGAUUAAUUGCCAGUUGGAGAGCUCGCGUCUGAUGAGCUAGUUGGGGGGGUAAGAGCCUACCCAGGCGUCGAUCAGUAGCUGGUCUGAGAGGACGAGCAGCCACACUGGGACUGAGACACGGCCCAGACUCCUACGGGAGGCAGCAGUGGGGAAUAUUCCGCAAUGGGCGAAAGCCUGACGGAGCAAUACCGCGUGAGGGAGGAAGGCUCUUGGGUUGUAAACCUCUUUUCUUUGGGAAGAUAAUGACGGUACCAGAGGAAUAAGCAUCGGCUAACUCCGUG
RNAcentral lists this ribosomal RNA (432 nucleotides) under uncultured bacterium. RNAcentral's name for it is "partial 16S ribosomal RNA". The stretch from base 48 to 432 matches the Rfam family "Bacterial small subunit ribosomal RNA", at positions 39 to 507 of the family's 1533-position model. The record is from RNAcentral.